RNAcentral lists this ribosomal RNA (434 nucleotides) under uncultured bacterium. Its description in RNAcentral is "bacterial SSU rRNA". It matches the Rfam family "Bacterial small subunit ribosomal RNA", at positions 954 to 1392 of the family's 1533-position model. The record is from RNAcentral.
GCACAACGCGAAGAACCUUACCUAGACUUGACAUCUCCUGAAUUACCCGUAACUGGGGAAGCUCUUCGGAGCAGGAAGACAGGUGGUGCAUGGUUGUCGUCAGCUCGUGUCGUGAGAUGUUGGGUUAAGUCCCGCAACGAGCGCAACCCUUAUUGUUAGUUGCUACCAUUAAGUUGAGCACUCUAGCGAGACUGCCGGGGUUAACUCGGAGGAAGGUGGGGAUGACGUCAAAUCAUCAUGCCCCUUAUGUCUAGGGCUACACACGUGCUACAAUGGCGAGUACAACAAGACGCUAAGCCGCGAGGUGGAGCAAAACUGUAAAACUCGUCCCAGUUCGGAUUGUAGGCUGAAACUCGCCUACAUGAAGCCGGAGUUGCUAGUAAUCGCGAAUCAGCAUGUCGCGGUGAAUACGUUCCCGGGUCUUGUACACACCG